CCCACCGCCGGCUCCACCAUCGCGUCAGCGAGAACCUGUUUUUUGUCUGACGAUAUUCAUCUUCUGUCCGCUCCUCCAUGAACCCGAGCUUGAGAUUCUGGUUUGUGCGGCAUUCAGUUCAAGGCAACAGGCCUUUGCAGAGAUGUGUGCGUUCCUAGUUUUUGAAGCUAUGUUGCGACGAUGAGGAUUUCCGUGGGUAGGUCUUUUAUUUGUUAGACUCAGUAUCUUAGCGUGCGUAGAAUACUCUGUUGCAUGUUUUGUUGGGAAGAGACUCGGUUAGGAGAAUUAUUCCAGCUAUGGCGCAUUACUGGGCUUCUUGUGCGGGCGGACUCCAGUUUGCACUCGUCAAAGAGUUGGAAAAUCUUGAAGGAACAAGUAUAAUCCCUGGCAUUGAUACCUAUGGAGGCGUACAGUUUCGAACAACGUCACCCCUUCAGAAAGUUGCAGAGUUAAGAUCUGCUGAUAACGUGUAUGCCUUUCUAUCCCAUGAAAAGAAUAUUCCUGUGGACAAGGAAGUAGGUGUGGCUUUCAUGCAGUCUCUAGCGAGCAAGAUCGACUGGGGGCCUGUCAUGCAACUUCACAAACAGUGGCAGGAAGCAGAAGAAACCUGUUCCACAUCUAGAACUAGCGAUCCUCUUUUGACAAUGAACGGAAUUACAAAUACCGAUCAAACGUGUGAAGUUACACAGAUGUCCUUCCGAGUGACAGGAAACAGAAUUUGCAUGAACAUGAAGAAGCAUGGCUACACCUCUAUGGAUGUUGCAGUCUCAAACAGGCUAAAUCCAGUCUAUGCUGUUUUGAAAAAAAAAAAAAAAUUUUGUGCAGCUGCCAUUGGGGAUGGCAUUCACGAGUUGCACGGAUGGCCAGCUGACAUGAGAAGCUAUAAUGUAGAAGUUUUGGCUUGGAUAAUUGAUGACGAACUUCUUCUGCUCCUUGCUCUCAUCUACAGUGGCAACAAGAAAAAUACUACGAACCUUCAAAACUCAAGCAAGAUCGACGAACCUCAUUCCAAUCAUGCCUCUGAAGAACAAGAGUUAGGGGGCGAGCAAGCCAAUUUGACCAAGAAGAAGGGCCGUGUAGACAGGCCAAGUCGUGCUGACGCUCAGCUCUAUUCUCGAAGGCCAUACCGAAAAGCAUUAGUGCACACUUCGCUGAAGCCCAGCACAGCAUAUGGGAUUUUGCAACUGGCUGACGUACAACCGGGCGACAUCGUGCUCGAUCCCAUGUGUGGUUGUGGAACUAUACCGUUGGAGGCUAGCGAUUGGCUAGGUUCAAGAAUCAUGGGUCUUGGUGGUGAUUUCAUAAAUACUGCAAUUGAAGCAUCACGUGUAAACUCUGUUGCUGGUGAAUCCGCAGGACCUUGUGACAUAGUCCAGUGGGAUGCAUCAAUGCUUCCAUUGCGAACUGCAAGCGUUGACCGUGUCAUAUGUGACAUGCCAUUUGGAAACCGUUGUGGCAACCACAAGGUUAGGGAGGUUCUUUGUCCAAGGGUUGUUAAACAGGUUGUUCGUGUUCUGAGACCUGGAUCAGGGGUAGCAGUACUCAUGGCUCAAAGUAAGACUAUGAAAGAGGAAAUAGUGGUGAAUCAAAAAGCCUAUUUGAGCCUACAGCAGCAUUUUUAUGUACACAUGGAGGGUUUGAAGGUUGAUGUCUUUGUCGUGCACCGUACCACAGAAGCUGCCCCCACUCAGCAAAUUGUGAAGCCAAGUAAGAAAAUGGUUAAGCGUAAGCGGGACGGACAGUUCAUCAAGCCAUCUUCACCAGAGAUUGCGUGAUCUGAAAGCCUGGUGUACUGAUACUGCCAAAGUGGGUUGUACAAAUUGCAAGUCGGCAUCAAACAUUGUAUUGAAUUUAUCAUCACUUGUCCACAUUAUAUAUGAUUGCUGGGCAUCCUCAACCUCUGUGCCCUUGCUUAACAUUGAGAAAUGUUUUCUGGCACUAAUAAUGAAGCAAAGGAGAACAGAUCUUGCUUGGAGUGCUACGAUCGUUGAUAGUGAUAGAUCUGAGCUGAAUUCAAGAGACCGUCGGUACAAGAAACAUAUCACACUGCACAUUGAAUACGUGCCAGAGUUCGUCGUCAUCUGCCUCUGUUGCAUGUCUUGGCAUACCAGGCUUGUGUAUGAACGGCCUCCUCUUGUGUGCUUGAUCCAGGUUCAGUUGCUGCUUGCGUUUUGUUGCAGGGUGUGCUUAUUUUUGACGCUCUACCUGAACUCAGUUUGAGUGCCCUUACGAAGCAGACGGUGGAUUUUGAUUUCAAUGUCCAUAUGACCUCGGCACUGUGUCAAAUUUUUCUCUUAGCAAUACAUUUAUACUAGUUCAGCAUGCGUACAAUGAAUCGAUUUGCUUCUUGUAUUAACUUCAACUAACAGCAGUAACAGUAUACUAGGGUAGUUUUUGUGGGAGUGGUAUAGCUCUGUAGCAUGGAAAGAGAAAUUAGGGGUCGCUGAUGGUGGAGAUUUUCUUGGAGGAUGAGAAACCAAGAAACAAUUUAGUAGAAGUCAGAUCACUUGUUGAAGCUGGGUUCACUAAAUUGUAAUGAGUUCAUGAUCUUUUAAAAAUACAUUAAAUAUGAACAAAGACAUUCUGAAG
Physcomitrium patens is the source of this 2589-nucleotide RNA transcript. RefSeq lists it as uncharacterized. Lineage: Eukaryota; Viridiplantae; Streptophyta; Bryopsida; Funariales; Funariaceae. The record is from RefSeq and is a predicted model, not a curated record.